Molecule: long non-coding RNA, 676 nt
Organism: Drosophila montana
Lineage: Eukaryota; Metazoa; Arthropoda; Insecta; Diptera; Drosophilidae
Exons: 2
Source: RefSeq, a predicted model, not a curated record
UUCCUAUUUUACUCGAAAUGUCAACGAAUUUAUUUGUUGUCAAACCCUGCUUCAAAGUCAAUGCAUGCAUUCAGAGGACGCAAUGUUGACACUUGGCGCGAGGCGAUAGCCGCGAGGCGAAGCAUUGAUCAACUUAACGAGCCGCGCAACGACAGCCGCAGCCGAGGCAACAACAGCAGCAGCUAAUUGAGUAUUCUACUUUUAAGUGGCGCCUCUGCCAACCCGAGCCGACCGAGCUGUUAACACACUUCAGCUGCGUUUGCUUGUGGCAGUUGCAGCUUGUGCGGACAGUCCGGACUGUGCGGCCUGUGGUCAGCGCGCAUAAAUCAAUAAGUUGCCAUAAAUUAAUUAAAAUAAAAAGCAGCGCAUCUCAAGGUGCUGCCAGGACAAGUCCUGUGUGUAUUACAAGUGCGUCUCCAUUUUGGCUUUAAGCAGCGCUCAGCCGAAGCAAUCAAUCAAAAUUGCAGCUGCCUUAGGGCGCCCGCUGGGUCGCUCGGUGAAUCUGAAACUGAAUCACGUAACGCCGUUCCAUGGCGCAUGAUAAAUUGUCAACACGCUGACGUUUGUCUGCAGCGAUUUAAAAACUACUUAAAAUGUAAAUGUUGUUUCGCAGUUGUUGUACCCUGCACCCAUUGAUAAUGGGUAAAAUAAAACGGGUAUAUUGUUUUGGUGCAAA